RNAcentral lists this ribosomal RNA (253 nucleotides) under uncultured bacterium. RNAcentral describes it as "partial 16S ribosomal RNA". It matches the Rfam family "Bacterial small subunit ribosomal RNA", at positions 524 to 776 of the family's 1533-position model. The record is from RNAcentral.
UACGGAGGGUGCAAACGUUGCUCGGAAUUAUUGGGCGUAAAGCGCACGUAGGCGGCCGUCUAAGUCGGGUGUGAAAGCCCAGGGCUCAACCCUGGAAGUGCACUCGAAACUGGACGGCUUGAAUAUGGAAGAGGGUCGCGGAAUUCCCGGUGUAGAGGUGAAAUUCGUAGAUAUCGGGAGGAACACCAGUGGCGAAGGCGGCGACCUGGGCCAAUAUUGACGCUGAGGAGCGAAAGCGUGGGUAGCAAACAGG